UCCCCUCCUGUUUAUAGACUCCCUUUAGGUAUUGAAAGGCUGCAAUGAGGUCACCCCACAGCCUUCUUUUCUCUACGCUUCUCUCAGCCAGUCUUGAGUUGGCUGAGCGGACUUGUUUCCCUGCCUUCUAAGCAGUGCUUGCUGCGUCACACUGGCUAAUCUUUAUCAGCACUCCCUCUUUGUGUGCUGUCUCAGCUUCACACCCUCUUCCUGGUUGCUACUUUGAGGAAAUGGUGUGUAGAGUUCUGUGCACUGAGGAUCGUUGCUGCUUGUGUGGUCCUCUGUGUCACGGAAUGGCGGGUGAUCCAUUUGUCAAGAGGUGAAUUUCUGUUAAGGAAAAAGGUGGUUACUGCUGAAAUAAUCCUUACUCCAAAAUGGGAGGAAACACAGUGUGUUGCAUGGUGUUAAAUAACUUUGUUUCUCUUUACAGCUGAUUCCUGUGAAAUAAAGUGUUUUAUUCUUUCAAGAAGACACUCCAUUGAGAGGAGUUGGAGAGUUUCAUAGGCUCCCUGGAAGUAUGGGCCAAAGCCCAAUAGUGGUAUAGGUCAGGAAAAAGAAUUUACAAGAUUUUCUUUUCUAAAGUAUUUUGGCUCCUCCUGGAGGUAAGCACAGUGAAUUUCUCAGCAUCACGCCUCACAGUAACAACACGGGAGCGGUGGUCUGUCUUCCCCACCGUGCUAUCAGAUGGUGAAGGACUAUCAUGAGAUGUUAAGUAAUUCAGAAAACCUAAACCUUGGCAUCUUGAAAUAUUUGUUGGUAUUGUAGUAAUACUUGCCAUUCUGUCUCUUUAAAUCCAUAUCUUGUCAAAGGAUCUGAGCCAGCUUUUUGCCUUCUCCAUCUUCCCACAAGAGGUCAGGCAUCUUAGAAGAGCAUGUACACCUCACGUAGCUUCUGCCCACCCACCUUAGCCAAUUUUACUGCGUUCAUCACAGAAGAGGAGAAUAUAAAGCUUUUCUGCUACUAUAAUUUCCAGUUUAGUUUUACACAUCUGAAGAAUUUUGAAUUAAAAGCAUCACUCUCUUUUUUUUUUUUUCUCUAUGUGGAUGCUUUUGGCUUUGUUGAAGGGGAAAAAAAACAGACAGUAUUAUAUAUCAGAACAGUUGCUGUCCUUAAACUUUAAGGCUAAGCUUAUGCUUAUGUUUGUGCAGCUGAUACCAAGUAUUGAUGGUAAGUAGUGUGACAGGGUGUGUGUGUCUUUUCUACAAAUGGCAGAAAACAUGGAUAUGAAAUUGUCCAGGAUAAAUUUGCUGACAUAGUAACUACAUACUUUGCUUUUAUGUAUUAAGUAUCACUGAUAUCACCUGCAAUGAUUCCUUCUCUUCCUUCGUCCACCUUGUUUCCAUGCUGCUGCUCUGGAUAGGAGACAAGGAUCCUGCUUUACGGAUGAAAUUACUUCACUGUUUUACUGUGUAUCUAACAAUGUAGAUACUGCUGAUGUCUCAGGAGGGAAUUGAUGUGAAAAAGUAAUGAAAGGAAUGCUUGAUGUGUCUGACAAAUAGUUUCCUGUGUUGUACAGUUUACUCUCGUGAGUUUGGGGGUGCCCAAUAUUUGGCAGGGUAGAUUUUACACAGUUUAGAACUUGGAAUUUUAAAACCUGUAUUCUCUCAAACUUAGGUAAUCUGGAAAUGCUCACACCCACUUACUUUCUGACUGAGCAGGUCUUAAUUGUUAUAGAAUAAUUGCAGAAAUAAGCACUGUCUCAGUUUUCCAUAUGAAAAUACACAAAGUGACUAAAGAACUGAAGGACUGCCUUUGCUGUAUUCUAAAUACAUGGGUAUACUCUGCUUUAAUGCAUUUUUAUGGAAGCUGCUUCAAGUAUUUGUAUGGUCCUGAGCCUGCUAAGCUGUCAUAUUUGUCUGCUUUGCUGUACCAGCAUCCUACGCUGCAGAGACCACAAGUUUUCCUUUUUGCAAAAAUAAAGUUGGUCUGAGUGCACCCAGGUAAGCAACCACUCUUUGCCCUGAGAGUGAAGUGGCUGGAAGUCAUGGAAGAUGGUGCAGAGAAAAGGAUGAGUAGGAACGUGUGAUGUGUUGGCCUUCUGCAAAGAAGCAAUUAGUACAUGUUCGUAUGCUUUCCUUGCUUUUAUCAUGGUAAAUUCUUGCUCCUAAUUAGAAACUGAAAGAUUUUGUUGUAAAUUCAGCCUUCACUGGAUAACGUACUGGAAACAUGUCUGCAAUCCGCAUGAGAAAUGUGUGCAUGUACAAGAUGGAGUGCGAAAACAUUCCUGGAUAAGUUUUAAGUCCCUUUGGAUGAAGGGGGAGAGCUGUAUAGCCACUGGGGCACUGCUGCCUGUAGGGCCUGUGAAAAAAGCAGGUAAAGAUGCAUUGAAAUGAGUGCUCUGAUCCUGACAUUGGAGAAGCUGUUGUGAUGGUUUCCUUCUAUGACGAUCUACAGAAAUGCUUUGUGGAGUGGUAACAGCUUCAAGGUAAGGGUGUGGAUUCAGCUGGGUGUAGGUAAGAACCUCUGUGGUGUGAAAACUUGGGAAAACACAGGUGAGAAUGGAAAGGUUCUGUAACUCAGUGUUGUAAAUGAAACUGGGGGGAAGCAAUUGUUAAAUUUUUAGGAGACCCCAGGAUUCCUGUAAUAACCUUUUUAUAUUCUGUUUUUCAGCACAGGAGGAGCCUCUUCAGGUGUUGUGAACAUGUUCUGCAGUUCAAUAGCAGUUACACAACAUGGGGUGGGAGGUGCACAGGCUACUGCAAGUUGUGGCCUCACAGGAACCAGUUUUAAUAGAGAGGAAACCUCAGGUUCUCUUGGAACUUCCAUGAA
Meleagris gallopavo (turkey) is the source of this 2769-nucleotide non-coding RNA. NCBI's taxonomy places the organism in Eukaryota, Metazoa, Chordata, Aves, Galliformes, Phasianidae. The record is from RefSeq and is a predicted model, not a curated record.